This 106-nucleotide microRNA precursor is filed under the name Mesocricetus auratus (golden hamster). RNAcentral's name for it is "miRNA (ENSMAUG00000002502.1)". Lineage: Eukaryota; Metazoa; Chordata; Mammalia; Rodentia; Cricetidae. The record is from RNAcentral.
UCUUAUAUAUAUAUGAUGUGAAUAUAUUUGUGUGUGCAUGUUCAUGUGUACAGUUAUAGGCCAUGGCAUACAUAACACAUAUAUGGAGUCAGAGGGAAAUCUCAGA